AUGGUGCUGCUCCGGCUCUCCCGCCUGGCCACGGCCCAGCCCCGUCUACGUCUUCCCUCUCGGUCCUUCUGCUGGACACACGGGCCGUGGAGGGCCGAGGAGGCGCCAGGCAGGACACCAGGGAGGCAGAGCACGUCCUCCCCGAAGGCGGACGACCAAGGAACGCUGCGGGCUGACCUCUGCUUGGGCAAAGCCCGCUGGCUCUCCGGAUCACUGCAGGCGCCAGGCCAGGAAGGGAGUGAACAAGGCCCAACAGCGCAGACGCGGCCGCCCAGGCAGCCGCUGGCAGGCCUGGGUCAUGGAGGACCCGUCCGAGGGGGCCGCCGCUCACUCGGCCCAUUUCCAUCAAAAGCAGCACCGAGAAACGCCCGCAAAUCCGCGUCUGUCCACACCGGUGAGCGCCGAGGAGCCGCCGGAGUGCCUCUAUUAUGUGUCCAACCAGCCUGGAGGACGCGCCUCGCGGGGACAGGAAGCUGCUUGUUUUCACGCUCCGCUAACGCAGUGGCAGAUCGUAGCUCGACACAACGACAAGAGCAGCAGGGACCGUUUUUAAUGACUAAAACGGUUCUCUGGCUUCUCUCUGGCUUCUGUCGGGCACCAGGUGCCACCCGGGCGCGUGGCCCGAAGGCUCCCCGUGGGCUGCGUUCCUGGCCGCCACGCAGGACGAGGCUGGGGCCAGGCCAGGCUUCUGCUCUUCCCACCCCAAACGGAGGGGCGACCACGGAGCAGGCGACCCAGCACCCAGCAUGCACUGCAGCGUGUCUCAAGAAGGGCAUGCAGUCAUCCCUGCCUCCCUCCGAGGCCCCCAAGGCACGCCCACAACCGUCAGCUUCCAGCGCCCAAAACAAAGCUCCUUUUGCACCAAGACUCUGCCUGGAGCGGCAGCCAGAGAAGCGGGUCGUCGGCCCGGGAGCCCCCGUCUCCGGCCACGGCCCGACACGAGUCCUGCCACGACGACGGCCUGGAAGUCUAGUCCUGGAGCGCGUUUCAACCAUGCCACACGCAGAAGGCGGCCCUUUCCCUGCUCCAGGGGCCGCGCUUCCUGCACGGGUCUGCAGGCGGUCCCGGAUGAGCGCCGCAGCUCACGGCUUCGACCCCCGCAGGCCUCGAGGGCCACCGCAGGGCCGUCCGAUCGUCGGCGACGUGGGACAGGCUGGAAGCGGAGAACCAGGAAAGAGCUCAAAGAGGGCGUCGUGUCCUCUUCAAAAGGAGGGCCUCCAGGCUCGCACCGGUCCCUCGAGGGGAGACUCGCCGCCUCUCGCGGCGGGAACGUCUCCGGGAGCCUCCUCCAACCAGAGCUCUGCCCCGUGGCGGAAGCCGACGAGGCGCCGCCAGUGUGGCGAAUGCGGUCACGCGGCCUCGGCUUGUGGCCCGAAGCCCUCCUGCUCGGCCCCGCGAGGAAACGGAGAGCGACGCCAUCCCAAAGCCCGUCCUGGAGCCAGGAAAGGCCGAGGGAAGCCGCUGGCCUCUCGCCGACACAGCCCGGGCUUCUCUCACCAGAAGAGGGUGACAGACGACAGGAGGCUCUGA
Molecule: long non-coding RNA, 1530 nt
Filed under: Monodelphis domestica (gray short-tailed opossum)
Lineage: Eukaryota; Metazoa; Chordata; Mammalia; Didelphimorphia; Didelphidae
Description: lncRNA (ENSMODG00000049103.1)
Source: RNAcentral